CGGUGCAAAAAAAAAAAAAAAGAGGGCUAUUGCAGGACAACCAGGGAACUUAGGCGCAAAUUACUUCAUGUGGAUGCUUUUUGAGAAAGUGAGGUUUACAUUGGAUGGCCUAGAAUGUAAUAAAAUUGGUGAUGGCUAUGAUGCUUAGCCAACCAAAUUUCUGCCCUUCACCAUUAUUGGAGUUGCUUGCAUAAUCAGUUAUGGAACUUCCAUGAGGCAGAUAUGAACCGGAUCAAUCGGCACCAACUUUCUUUAUAUGGAUUACAAGGAAGAAAUCAACAUCCAAACGCGGGGGCUCACUCGUUCUCCAUAGGAGUCACAGAAACACUCAACACAAAUCUUAUGAUAGAGCUAAGAGCUGAUGAUAUUGAAUGCGUUUUCCAGAGGUAAAAAAAGAGUCUUAAAACUUGUAGGAGUUAAAAACUCAAAAAUUUAGUGAUUAUGUGGAAGACGUACGUAUGUAUGUGAUAUGAUCAUUCCACAGUAAUAUAGAGGGGAUAUAUGCUAAUAACAAUAUGAUCGAUUCCUUGUAGAUUUGAUAGGUUACAUGUUUUUUAUAU
Molecule: long non-coding RNA, 560 nt
Organism: Camelina sativa (false flax)
Lineage: Eukaryota; Viridiplantae; Streptophyta; Magnoliopsida; Brassicales; Brassicaceae
Source: RefSeq, a predicted model, not a curated record